Molecule: unclassified non-coding RNA, 353 nt
Filed under: Priestia megaterium
Lineage: Bacteria; Bacillati; Bacillota; Bacilli; Caryophanales; Bacillaceae
Description: Bacillus megaterium partial contains 16S ribosomal RNA, 16S-23S ribosomal RNA intergenic spacer, and 23S ribosomal RNA
Rfam family: Bacterial large subunit ribosomal RNA (bases 235-353)
Source: RNAcentral
CCCUCCUUUCUAAGGAUUUUUACAUGACGUACGUUUUGACACUUUGUUCAGUUUUGAGAGUUCAAUCUCUCAAUUAUAGAAAGCACACUACUUUCUUCUUAUCUGAUAAGAAGAAUUUUGGUUGCGAUUGUUCUUUGAAAACUAGAUAACAGUAAUUGCUGAGGAAAAGUGAAACUUUUCUUUAAUCAAAUCAAUAAAUAACACAACAUUAUGUUGUACCAUUUAUUCGCUAAUGGUUAAGUUAGAAAGGGCGCACGGUGAAUGCCUUGGCACUAGGAGCCGAUGAAGGACGGGACUAACACCGAUAUGCUUCGGGGAGCUGUAAGUGAGCUUUGAUCCGGAGAUUUCCGAAU